This 363-nucleotide ribosomal RNA is filed under the name uncultured bacterium. RNAcentral's name for it is "bacterial SSU rRNA". It matches the Rfam family "Bacterial small subunit ribosomal RNA", at positions 29 to 417 of the family's 1533-position model. The record is from RNAcentral.
AACGAACGCUGGCGGCAGGCCUAACACAUGCAAGUCGAACGCCCGUAGCAAUACGGGAGUGGCAGACGGGUGAGUAACGCGUGGGAACGUGCCCUUCGGUUCGGAAUAACUCAGGGAAACUUGAGCUAAUACCGGAUACGUCCGUAAGGAGAAAGAUUUAUCGCCGAAGGAUCGGCCCGCGUCGGAUUAGCUAGUUGGUGAGGUAACGGCCCACCAAGGCGACGAUCCGUAGCUGGUCUGAGAGGANGAUCAGCCACACUGGGACUGAGACACGGCCCAGACUCCUACGGGAGGCAGCAGUGGGGAAUAUUGGACAAUGGGCGAAAGCCUGAUCCAGCCAUGCCGCGUGAGGGAUGACGGCCU